RNAcentral lists this transfer RNA (75 nucleotides) under Alienimonas chondri. Its description in RNAcentral is "tRNA-Asn". It matches the Rfam family "tRNA". From Rfam's summary of the family: Transfer RNA (tRNA) molecules are approximately 80 nucleotides in length. Their secondary structure includes four short double-helical elements and three loops (D, anti-codon, and T loops). The record is from RNAcentral. Lineage: Bacteria; Pseudomonadati; Planctomycetota; Planctomycetia; Planctomycetales; Planctomycetaceae.
GCGGCGUUAGCUCACUUGGUUAGAGCACCAGGCUAUUAACCUGGCGGUAACGGGUUCGAUUCCCGUACGCACCAC